GUGCUCACUUUAGCACAUAUACUAAAAUUGGAACGAAUCAGAGAAGAAUCACAUGGGCUCUGCACAAGGAUGACACACAAAUUCAUAAAGCACUCCAUAUUAAA
Molecule: small nuclear RNA, 104 nt
Organism: Manis pentadactyla (Chinese pangolin)
Lineage: Eukaryota; Metazoa; Chordata; Mammalia; Pholidota; Manidae
Source: RefSeq, a predicted model, not a curated record